Molecule: long non-coding RNA, 398 nt
Filed under: Helianthus annuus (common sunflower)
Lineage: Eukaryota; Viridiplantae; Streptophyta; Magnoliopsida; Asterales; Asteraceae
Description: sRNA HanXRQr2_Chr16g0759141
Source: RNAcentral
GUUCGCCGGAGCCAACGGAGAUCACUUCACUCGUUCUCGAUAUACCUCGCCUUGUUUUCUCACUCACAAAACGUUAAACUUGCGCCGGAGAAACCCAUACUUGUCGGAGUUCGUUAACCUACCAUCUCCCUCUCUCGCUCGGUAACAAGCAACCGGAACCAAGAGGAAACCCAUCGUAGGAACUAGACACGCCGGGGAUACGCCGCCGGAGACCGAGAAGAAGAUCGGAGAAGACGACCGGAAUUCACGACGGACUCUAGCUCGAAUCGUCAUGUGUUCGGAUAAUCGUUCUCAUACUCUUGGAAUUCUCCAUCUUUAAUUGUGCGUUAUUUCAAGGAAUCUCCAAACGCAACCAAUGUUAAUUGUUGAAGUAUGGACAUGAUGAAACGAGAUUUAGG